RNAcentral lists this ribosomal RNA (117 nucleotides) under Crocodylus porosus (Australian saltwater crocodile). Lineage: Eukaryota; Metazoa; Chordata; Crocodylia; Crocodylidae. The record is from RNAcentral.
CACUGUAGCCAUACCACCUUGGGCUGUGCUCUUGUCAGAUUUAAUAAAAGAAAUGAGGUCAAGCCUGGGCAGUAUUUGGAUGGGAAGCCUCUAUGGAAAACAAGGACGUUGGAGGAA